This 507-nucleotide ribosomal RNA is filed under the name uncultured bacterium. RNAcentral describes it as "partial 16S ribosomal RNA". It matches the Rfam family "Bacterial small subunit ribosomal RNA", at positions 30 to 523 of the family's 1533-position model. The record is from RNAcentral.
AUUGAACGCUGGCGGCAUGCCUUACACAUGCAAGUCGAACGGCAGCGGGGGAGAAGCUUGCUUUCCUGCCAGCGAGUGGCGAACGGGUGAGUAAUACAUCGGAACGUGCCCUGUAGUGGGGGAUAACUAGUCGAAAGAUUAGCUAAUACCGCAUACGACCUGAGGGUGAAAGUGGGGGACCGCAAGGCCUCAUGCUAUAGGAGCGGCCGAUGCCUGAUUAGCUAGUUGGUGGGGUAAAGGCCUACCAAGGCGACGAUCAGUAGCUGGUCUGAGAGGACGAUCAGCCACACUGGGACUGAGACACGGCCCAGACUCCUACGGGAGGCAGCAGUGGGGAAUUUUGGACAAUGGGCGAAAGCCUGAUCCAGCAAUGCCGCGUGUGUGAAGAAGGCCUUCGGGUUGUAAAGCACUUUUGUCCGGAAAGAAAUGGCUCUGGUUAAUACCUGGGGUCGAUGACGGUACCGGAAGAAUAAGGACCGGCUAACUACGUGCCAGCCGCCGCAGUAA